This 253-nucleotide ribosomal RNA is filed under the name uncultured bacterium. Its description in RNAcentral is "partial 16S ribosomal RNA". It matches the Rfam family "Bacterial small subunit ribosomal RNA", at positions 524 to 776 of the family's 1533-position model. The record is from RNAcentral.
UACAUGGGGUGCAAACGUUGCUCGGAAUCAUUGGGCGUAAAGCGCGCGUAGGCGGUUACUUAAGUUGGAUGUGAAAGCCCUCGGCUUAACUGAGGAAGUGCAUCCAAAACUGAGUAGCUAGAGUACGAAAGAGGGUCGCGGAAUUCCCGGUGUAGAGGUGAAAUUCGCAGAUAUCAGGAGGAACACCGAUGGCGAAGGCAGGUCUCUGGGCAUUAACUGACGCUGAGGAGCGAAAGCAUGGGGAGCGAACAGG